This is a long non-coding RNA of Balaenoptera ricei (Rice's whale), 464 nucleotides long. RefSeq lists it as uncharacterized. The transcript has 4 exons. The record is from RefSeq and is a predicted model, not a curated record. Lineage: Eukaryota; Metazoa; Chordata; Mammalia; Artiodactyla; Balaenopteridae.
GGCAUCUUCUCUUCCACUUGUGCCAAGGAAAGCAAAGACUCUGAGAUUCAGCUCACAAAGAUUUAAAUAGGGUUUAUAUGCUCUACAGAGCUAUCCAACUUGCAAAAGAGUUCCACUUUGCUGGCCUCAAGACUGGAAACCAACCAACUUAAGACAGCAAAGGAUUCAAUCUCUCCAGCAACAUGGUUCAACUUACAAUGCAAGGCAAAGUGUGAAGAUUAUCAGGAUAAUCUAGUUGAAGUGGACAAAGUCUGAUGUAUUCAGCCACUGGUGCCACGAGCCUAGGUCUCAGAACUACGAUACAGUGGAAAAGCGCUGGAUGCUAGGUCCAAAGAUCUUGGUUCAAGUCCCAGCAUGGCCACCUGAGUGUGAGCACUGACAGCACAAAGAUGAAGACAAACCAAUCGCUGCCCUUAGAAGAUGCAGAAAGUCCUAACUAAAAUCAGAGCCCAACGUAUGCAGAC